GAUGAAGAACGCAGCGAAAUGCGAUAAGUAGUGUGAAUUGCAGAAUUCAGUGAAUCAUCGAAUCUUUGAACGCACAUUGCGCCCUUUGGUAUUCCAAAGGGCAUGCCUGUUCGAGCGUCAUUUGUACCCUCAAGCUUUGCUUGGUGUUGGGCGUCUUGUCUCUAGCUUUGCUGGAGACUCGCCUUAAAGUAAUUGGCAGCCGGCCUACUGGUUUCGGAGCGCAGCACAAGUCGCACUCUCUAUCAGCAAGGGUCUAGCAUCCAUUAAGCCUUUUUUUCAACUUUUGACCUCGGAUCAGGUAGGGAUACCCGCUGAACUUAAGCAUAUCAAUAAGCGGAGGA
Molecule: unclassified non-coding RNA, 341 nt
Filed under: soil metagenome
Description: partial contains 5.8S ribosomal RNA, internal transcribed spacer 2, and large subunit ribosomal RNA
Rfam family: 5.8S ribosomal RNA (bases 1-120)
Source: RNAcentral